This is a long non-coding RNA of Drosophila miranda, 1075 nucleotides long. RefSeq lists it as uncharacterized. Lineage: Eukaryota; Metazoa; Arthropoda; Insecta; Diptera; Drosophilidae. The record is from RefSeq and is a predicted model, not a curated record. The transcript has 3 exons.
UUUUACGCGUGUAAGAAAUAGAAAAUAGGAAUCUUGGAAAUUGUGUGCUGACAGGUUGCACCACAGCGAAUGUGCAGGGACAAGGCUAAUCAAACAGGCAAUCGUUGUUCUUAUAGCAUUUUUUCACUCUGUUGUUGCUCUAGUAGUUGUGACGGCCCAUAUUUGGAUGGACUUAUUUGUGUGCACAGAGCUGUAGCUUAUCUGCAUGCAAGGGAAUAAACGGGAAUAAAGCGAAAGCUUUUGACGAGAGAGCGAGCUUUGGGUUAUCUAGCCCUUGUGCUUUAGGAUGAAGAAACAAAAUCAAAGCUCAAGCGCUGGAUCAUUCGAUCCAUGGAACUAAAUUGUGGAAGGUCAGUUUGGUGGUACGGCGAGAUAAAAGAAAAGAAAAGAAUAAAAGGUUAUACACGUGUCUGAAAAAAAAAGAAAAAUUGAAAUCAAUAAAUCGUCGAAAGUAGGGUGCACAUGCCAAGCUGCCCCAAAAAAAAUUAAGAUCAGUGUGCCGAAAAGCCGAAAAAUCUGUGGUUCUCCAAAGAUAAACCCGGUUUCAAGCCCCAAACGGGGUCUGAGCUUUGCCAGUCGAUCUCGGUUUCUCCAGUUUAAUUUAGUAUUGACGAAAGUUAUCCAACGGAGGUCAAACUUCUGCCGCACAACGAAAAUUUGCGAUCAACCUUAUUUUUGACCUUGGCAGAGGACAUACAGUUGCCUCUGAAAUUCUAUGUCGUGGCCUGGAUAGGCACAGACAUAUCCAUAUCGGAUGUCUUCAAGGAAAAGGAUUGACACACACACACACACACACUGAAUUCAACCGACACAUCAAUGCAUGCAGGCCUGUUGCAGCGAUGGAAAACCAAACGUAAGCUACCACUAAAAGUAAGAAAAACACCGCUUUGCUUAUAAUUUGAUUUGUUCUUCUAAACUUUUCUCCUCUUUAUAUAUAUAAAAAAACCCCUAAAAUUAAGUUGCUGUAACUGUAGAUAAAUAAGAUGUUAUGAAGAUUUGAGGUGAUGCUGAGGAUGGUUGUUAGUUGGAGUGGAGUUAAAAUAUGAAAAUACACUGAAGAUUGAUCAACAUGAAA